This 479-nucleotide ribosomal RNA is filed under the name uncultured bacterium. Its description in RNAcentral is "bacterial SSU rRNA". It matches the Rfam family "Bacterial small subunit ribosomal RNA", at positions 28 to 507 of the family's 1533-position model. The record is from RNAcentral.
GAUGAACGCUGGCGGCGUGCCUCAAACAUGCAAGUCGAGCGAGGCUAUGAGUUACCGCAAGGUAAGGCAUAGCCUAGCGGCGAACGGGUGAGUAACACGUGGGUAACCUACCUGGAAGACAGGGAUAACGAUUCGAAAGGGUCGCUAAUACCUGAUAAUAUCCAUCUGCCGGAUGGCGGAGGGGAAGAAAGGGGAAACCCGCUUUCAGAUGGGCCCGCGUCCCAUCAGCUAGUUGGUAAGGUAAAGGCUUACCAAGGCGACGACGGGUAGCCGGUCUGAGAGGAUGUACGGCCACACUGGGACUGAGAUACGGCCCAGACUCCUACGGGAGGCAGCAGUUGGGAAUCUUAGGCAAUGGACGAAAGUCUGACCUAGCGACGCCGCGUGAGGGGAAGAAGGCCUUCGGGUUGUAAACCGUCUGUCAUGGGGGAAGAAGGAAGUGACGGUACCCCAAGAGGAAGCCCCUGCCUAACUACGUG